GACACUCGGUCAUACGCGCAAACGAGAUUACUUAUCACGUUGGAUUAUUUUUGGAGCAAUGAAUUCAUCGGGCGAUGCAUUGUAGUUGUCAGCAAAGCCAAAAGGUAUACUCGAUGAUGAAACAUUAAAUUUGAUUUCUAACAAUGGCCUAAAAUAUAGGCAUCAUCCUGGUAGUGUCAAACCUAGAACACCAAUAUUCUCAGCAUGGGCAUCAAAAAAAAUAGAAAAUAUCGUGAAAGUUUUCAGAAAAAAAAUAACAUAAGCUUGAAAGAAUUGAAAAAAAGUGUAAAAAAAUUAUUUCACCAUUUGCAUGGUCGCCAUUCGCUGCUGGAGUAGUCACAACUGCCAGAAAAAUUACAAAAAGUAGAAGAAUGUUUGAAUGCUAAUCGUAAUCAGAAAAUAUCUAUAGAAGACAUAGAUUUCGUAUGGAUAGAAGAGCAAGGCAAAUUUUGAAGACCAAUGUAUACAAUUAAUUUUGAUAAGCUCACUUACGUAUCUGCUUGGUAGAGAAGUUUAAAAUUAUGCGGUUAUAUAUAUAGGAUUCUGGAUGAGAUCAGAACACGUGACAAAGAAUUCAACCCUAGAAGACAAUUUGACUUUGGCUCUGGUCUUGGUACGGUCAUGUGGUAAAUGUCAAAAUAUCAUGUAAACUUCAAAAAUACUAAUCUACUAUAUAAUUAUUAUGUAAACUUGGUUAGCAUAUCUAAGAAAUAAAAUAAUAAACAUUUUGAUAAGAUUGCUUCCGAAAUUUGGCCACACUCGCUACAGGAAUAUUUUUGUGUCAAAGUAUCAAAAUCAAUUAUUGAAAUGUCGGAAAGAUUAGCAAAAGUUGUCACGCCCGAAAGUAAAGACAUUUUUUAUUGCCACUAUUUUUCUGUCGCCGCAAAUGUAAGAGCAAUAUGAAAUAUUUUAUAUAUACACUAAAAUUAUUUUUGUUUUCUUAUAAUUUGAAAGUUUUGUUUCUCUUUUAGCUCACUUACAAUAUUGU
Pseudomyrmex gracilis is the source of this 988-nucleotide long non-coding RNA. RefSeq lists it as uncharacterized. The record is from RefSeq and is a predicted model, not a curated record. The transcript has 3 exons. NCBI's taxonomy places the organism in Eukaryota, Metazoa, Arthropoda, Insecta, Hymenoptera, Formicidae.